GGAAUUUUCCGCAAUGGGCGAAAGCCUGACGGAGCAAUGCCGCGUGGAGGAUGAAGGCCUGUGGGUUGUAAUCUCCUUUUCUCAGAGAAGAAGUUCUGACGGUAUCUGAGGAAUAAGCAUCGGCUAACUCCGUGCCAGCAGCCGCGGUAAUACGGAGGAUGCAAGCGUUAUCCGGAAUCAUUGGGCGUAAAGCGUCUGUAGGUGGCUUGGUAAGUCGACUGUUAAAUCGUAGAGCUUAACUCUAUAUCGGCAGUCGAAACUACUUCGCUUGAGUGUGGUAGGGGCAGAGGGAAUUCCCGGUGUAGCGGUGAAAUGCGUAGAUAUCGGGAAGAACACCAACGGCGAAAGCACUCUGCUGGGCCAACACUGACACUGAGAGACGAAAGCUAGGGUAGCCAAUGGGAUUAGAUACCCCUGUAGUC
This 422-nucleotide ribosomal RNA is filed under the name uncultured eukaryotic phytoplankton. RNAcentral's name for it is "bacterial SSU rRNA". It matches the Rfam family "Bacterial small subunit ribosomal RNA", at positions 358 to 795 of the family's 1533-position model. The record is from RNAcentral.